AGAAACUCUUGGAAUGGUAGAGGUUGGAAAGGACCUCAAGAGAUCAUCUGGUCCAACUCCCUGCUCAAGCAGAAAUGUGUACAUCUGGUUGCCUAGGGCCAUGCCCAGUUUAACUGGAAUAACUGCUCUCUACCCUGGAGUACACUCUGAAAGGAAGGAAGUCUUACCAAAUGGUGAAAUUUUGAAGCUCUGCUACUGUCAUUACAGAGUACAGAAUGAAUUACAGGUUAUGAAAUGAAGAUCAAACUACUAUUAGCCCAGAUUAUGGAGAGUUUUUUUUAUGGUCAGUGAAGAGUGAACUAAACCUAGAUAAAGAAAGAAGCUGCUCAGUAAUUUCACAUGACAUAAUGUAAAUGUAUUCAUGAAGUAAAGUGAGUCUCUCUCAGCUCGUGUUGAUUGUGCUCAUAGAGGUGUUUGCCAGUCUGUUGAACACAUUCUGCAGUUACUAUUUUUUUUAAACAGACAGAAUGAAAACAGAAGACCAUAAAAAGAAAGACUUGAAGCAUUUUGUCUGUUUCUGAAUCUUUAUCUCCUACACACAAUAAACAUGUUCAUUCCAACAGACAAUGUGCAGCUAAAUCCCCUGUGCUAUUUGAAAAUUUCAAGAGAUAAUUUUGUAAAACAUCAUUUAUGUUCUGGCCUGCUACAGUGCUCCUCCCCAGCCAUUAUCUUCAGAAAGCAGUUGGUAAAAUACUGAAAUAAAUUACA
Non-coding RNA from Meleagris gallopavo (turkey), 708 nucleotides. NCBI's taxonomy places the organism in Eukaryota, Metazoa, Chordata, Aves, Galliformes, Phasianidae. The record is from RefSeq and is a predicted model, not a curated record.